Non-coding RNA from Stegostoma tigrinum, 2018 nucleotides. NCBI's taxonomy places the organism in Eukaryota, Metazoa, Chordata, Chondrichthyes, Orectolobiformes, Stegostomatidae. The record is from the annotation of a RefSeq genome assembly.
AUCUGGGGUUUGUUUCGAAAGCUCUUGACAGAAACAUUGUUCCCAAGUUAUCAGAAUGGUGACGACGACAAUUUUUCUGAAUUUGUUACUGACCUUCUUAUCCUGUGUCCAGUCGGAGGUUACAUUGGUUCAACCACAGGCAGAGACUGUCCGUCCUGGAGGCGCCAUAAGACUGUCCUGUAAAACCAGCGGAUUCGAUCUUGGCAGCUCUGGCAUGAGUUGGAUCCGACAGGUGCCUGGCAAGGGGCUGGAGUGGAUCGUUUACUACUAUAGUUCAUCGUACAGUAAUUAUGCGCCAGCGAUUAGAGACCGAUUUACUGCGUCCAAAGAUAUUUCAAAAAACAUCUUCGCGUUGGAAAUGAUGAGCCUGAGGAUCGAAGACACUGCCAUCUAUUACUGUGCAAGAGACCACAAAGCGAGAAACAGCGGCUACUGGGGACAAGGAACCAUGGUGACCGUGAAUUUAGUGACUCCAUCUUCCCCGACGCUUUAUGGUCUAGUCUCCUGUCGUGAACACAGCACUGAUAACUCUGUGAUUUUUGGUUGUUUGGCGAUGGACUAUUCCCCCGACGUCACUACUGUGACCUGGAAGAAAGAUGGGACGCAGAUCACGACUGGAUUUAAGACAUACCCAUCGGUGAGAAACAAGAAGGGAACUUAUACCCUGAGCAGCCAGUUAGCACUGACUGGUGCAGACGCGCAUUGUGGAAAAGUCUACUGUGAGGUUCGACACAGUGGGUCCGACAAGAGCACUGAAAUACAAUGUCCAAACGGUGGUGUCCCUCCGAGUGUUCUCCUUACUGUGAGUUCCAGUGAAGAAAUCGAGAGCAGGAAAGUUGCAACCUUAGUCUGCUCAAUCUUUCACUUCAAUAAAAAGGAUAUCUCCGUGGUUUGGUUGAAGAAUGGAAGAGUGGUAAAUUCUGGUGUCUUUACUUCUCCUGCGUGUGAAGCGAACGGAAACUUCUCAACGACCAGUCAGCUGAGAGUGUCUUCUCGUGAAUGGUUCGACAGAGCAGUCUACACAUGCCAGGUCGAACAUGAAGGGCACAGUCAAAGUCACAACAUCACCGGACCUCAGGUUUCAGAGUGCCAUGAUUACACAGCUAAAAUACUACCGCCACCAGUUGAACAGGUCUUACUGGAGGCCACGGUGACAUUAACCUGCGUUGUGUCCAAUCUUCAUUUUGAAGCCAACUUCACCUGGAUACACGACAAGAAGACUCUGAAAUCAGAACUUGUUGACCAGUCCGGAGAGCAUUCCGAAGGUGUGAUCAGCAAUUUAGAUAUUUCUACUGAAGCCUGGCUGAGUGGGGAUACAUUUGAAUGCGUAGUGAACAAUCAGUAUCUACCGACUCCACUGAGAGACUCCAUCCACAAGGAGAAAUUAAUAAAUCCUCUGGAGCCAUCGGUGUCGAUCCUCCUGCCAACGACAGAAGAAGUCUCCGCACAGAGAUUUCUUUCCCUCACCUGUUUAGUGAGAGGCUUCAGGCCGCGAGAGAUCUUUGUCAAGUGGACAACAAAUGACAAGCCAAUUAAUCCCAGUAACUACAAGAACACCGCGGUGACGGCAGAGAGCGACAACACUUCAUUCUUUUUGUACAGCCUAUUAACAAUUGCAGCGGAGGAGUGGGCCAGCGGUGCUUCUUACUCCUGUGUGGUGGGACAUGAAGCGAUUCCAUUGAAGAUCAUCAACAGAACGGUUGAUAAAACCAGCGACUCAAGAGAUCAUAAUUGGAUUGAAGACUCUGAGGAUGAUAACGGCAACAUGUGGACAACUGCUUCUACAUUCAUUACCUUGUUCUUCCUGAGCAUUUUCUACAGUGCUGCUGUCACACUGGUCAAGGUCACGUGAAUGAAUUUUGCACCCUGUAGAAUUUCCUCAUCUGUUCAUCCAGGCCACUGAACUGCAAAUGUACCAUCAGUCAUGUUGUUGAAAGUAGCAGUGACAUAAAUUCAGUUUAUGAGUCUGUAAAUGAGAAAAUCAUUGUUGGGUUUUCAAUUUCCCUUGCUUGAUAACG